This 1277-nucleotide long non-coding RNA is filed under the name Anas platyrhynchos (mallard). RNAcentral's name for it is "lncRNA (ENSAPLG00020013686.1)". The record is from RNAcentral. Lineage: Eukaryota; Metazoa; Chordata; Aves; Anseriformes; Anatidae.
GGCGGGGCCUCGGCCUGACCGGGGCCGGUGGCGUGGGGCCGGGGCCGGCCGUCAGGAGCCGCCCCCAGCCGCUGGCCCCUCGGGGCUGCUCGCUGAGGAGAUCCCGGCAGCACACUGAGGGAAUUCAGCCCCAGAACAUUAUAGCAAAUAGCAGUGCCGGCUUACUGCCCGUUAAAUCUUCCUGUGCUACCUUGUAAACCUGUAACAACCCCUUUCAGGCGCUAUGCUUUCAUUCUCAAAUACCUUACUUUUGGCAAGUGGUUCUGUCAAACUCACCCGUUAUACUUAGUCCAUCUGUGGACAAGUGGUAGUAACAAGAAUUAACCCUUCCUUGAAAUGCUUUGCAAUCUAUGCUUGAAAUUAUUUGUCUAACAGUUAGCUGUAAUUGUAACAGUUAAUUGUAAUUGUAAACGUAGGCUGAGUUUUGGAAGACUCAGGCAAACUUUCAUUUUGUUGCUGUAAGGGUUUAUCCAAAUACUAUUGCCUGGCAGUGUCCAUAUCCCAAGUGAAAGUUGAGGUACCAUUAGCACAACAGUGGCUUACUCUGUGCAAACCAGAUGAAAAGCAGAAGAAUAAUGCUGUAACUGUUUAAAUAAGUUUGACUGUGUAUUAUCAAAUUCUGCUAUGCAAAAUUUCAAAUUGUAUAUUAUUUUUCCUUAAUAAUUCUUAAUAAUGUGCCAGAUCAGUUUAGUGCUAUCCCACCACCCAUAUAGUAGAUCAGAGUAGCUCUAAAUAGUUCUAAGUUUUAAGAAGCAGUAACUUUUUUUUUUUUUUUUUCUCCUUUGUAUUAACAUAGUUCUGGACAAUCAUCAACCAUAACUCCUCCUCUCCGAUGACUUUUGUUUGUUUUAAGGUGUUUCCAAAACCACGUACGUGUAACAAAGAGAUUUAAUGCUGAAUUCCGGAUCUAACAUCCUGGUGGAGUAUGUGACCAUUGUAGCCAUCACUUGAAAUAAAACCUGCUAACCUAAAACCACAGUGAUUUCUCUUUGGGAAGGUUGACCAAUAGUCAAGAAAAAAUCUUUGAUAGUCUUCCAAGAUCAACAAAAUUGUUACUUACAAGUUUUACCACAAUGUUGAUGCAAUGGCUAGUCAAUAUGAUUCACUGGAAGAAGAGAAAAAAGAAACUGGAAUGGAACACUGUUUCUUCUCAGCUGCCUAGGCAUUAUUGAAGAAUACUUUCCCAAAGAAAAGGUGAGUUGCCGUCAGUGGAUAUGCACUGCUGACUAAAAAAUCUGACUCAUAAACUAAAAAAUCUUCGUUAAGAAAAAUAAAAU